This 410-nucleotide ribosomal RNA is filed under the name uncultured beta proteobacterium. Its description in RNAcentral is "bacterial SSU rRNA". It matches the Rfam family "Bacterial small subunit ribosomal RNA", at positions 9 to 419 of the family's 1533-position model. The record is from RNAcentral. Lineage: Bacteria; Pseudomonadati; Pseudomonadota; Betaproteobacteria.
GAGUUUGAUCGUGGCUCAGAUUGAACGCUGGCGGCAUGCCUUACACAUGCAAGUCGAACGGUAACAGGUCCUUCGGGAUGCUGACGAGUGGCGAACGGGUGAGUAAUACAUCGGAACGUGCCUAGUAGUGGGGGAGUAACUACUCGAAGGAGUGGCUAAUACCGCAUGAGAUCUAUGGAUGAAAGCAGGGGACCUUCGGGCCUUGUGCUACUAGAGCGGCCGAUGGCAGAUUAGGUAGUUGGUGGGAUAAAAGACUUACCAAGCCUACGAUCUGUAGCUGGUCUGAGAGGACGAUCAGCCACACUGGGACUGAGACACGGCCCAGACUCCUACGGGAGGCAGCAGUGGGGAAUUUUGGACAAUGGGCGCAAGCCUGAUCCAGCAAUGCCGCGUGCAGGAUGAAGGCCUUC